Molecule: long non-coding RNA, 267 nt
Organism: Arabidopsis thaliana (thale cress)
Lineage: Eukaryota; Viridiplantae; Streptophyta; Magnoliopsida; Brassicales; Brassicaceae
Product: other RNA
Exons: 1
Source: RefSeq
AAUGUCACAACUGCCUGCUUGCAUCAGAUAUUGAAAUUGCGGAGAAGAUUUAGUUAUUGAAAAGGCCCGAGUAGAGGGAUAGUGGGAGAAGCACCAUGUUCUGAGGACGAUUGCUUGGGCUGCUUGAUGAAUCAUUUCGAGCAUGAUCUGCCGAUUGAAUUGGGCUACUUCCUUUUGGAAAAUGAUGCGAUCUCGGAUUGGGCUUUUAUUGGGUCUAGAAUUGAAUAAGAUGAUGAGAUUGAGAGUGGUGGGAUCUCAAGACUUGGA